Long non-coding RNA from Ctenopharyngodon idella (grass carp), 1442 nucleotides. RefSeq lists it as uncharacterized. The transcript has 3 exons. NCBI's taxonomy places the organism in Eukaryota, Metazoa, Chordata, Actinopteri, Cypriniformes, Xenocyprididae. The record is from RefSeq and is a predicted model, not a curated record.
UAAAGAGAUAAGUCUGCGCCUUCCGUGUGCGUUUGUUGUUUUUUUCCCCCCUUUCUAUCUAGCCUACCUACUUUCACUUUACACUGACACUGACACUGAAGUUCCUGCCAAUUGGCCAUCCUGAUGCAGCUCUUCUACCAGCUUGUCAUUAUUUCGGGGUCCUCUUAGGUAAAGACCCAGCGCUGAGCAGCACAUCUGGAAUCAAUACAGCCGAACUGGAUUCUGGAGUCAGAGAGGUCGAGUUCAAGCUGACCAGGUCACAUCGCUCAGAGUCGGCUACGCCAGCACGGAUGGUUGCUAUGGUGAGGGUUAUGGUGGAAGAGAUAUAGAGAUUGAUGGGGAAUUUUUUGCUUGUUAAAGUAAAUUUGUUUUUUGGUAUUUACACGUUCAUAUACUCAAUAAUAAUUCAGAUAUAAUUAUGAACUAUUGGAUUGGUCCAUCAGUAUGUGAACAGAAACACAAGCGCGUCACUGGAUAGACAAAUAGAGCUAGAGCCAGAAAAACACUCCAAUCGGUGAAGUUUGGUGCUCAUUAAUAUUGUGCAAAACUCUUCCUGUUUCUAACUUCCCUCGAUUAUUGCCCUUGACUUAUUAGAGGUCAUGAAAUUGUUUUUGAACCAACUAUCUUCAUAGUCUAUCAAUUGAGCUUUUUUUUUCGGUUACAUCUGAAAUAUUUUUCUUGCCAGUUAUCAGCAAAAACACAUCUAAUUAAUUAUAAAGUAAAUUAAAUGCAAUGUAUUCAGAUAUUCAGUGGACAAUUCAAAGAAUUACAUUUUAGUAAGUCCGCAGCUUAAUUUGAAGAUUUAUUUUCAGUGCAUGGUAAUUAUUGACCUUCAGAUUCAUAUUAUUAACCCUUAGUGUUUCCACAAGGUGAGUGUGUUAUUGAGCAGAUGAAGGACAUUCUUUUAUUCCACUGGCAGCUGGAGAACAAUUAUCCUUCAGAUAGAGACUGGAGGGCAAGGACUGUGUGUAACCCUCCAUUAUUCAUCUUAAUCAGAGACUUAAUCAUCAGCAUCCAUCAGCACUUUACAUUAAAUCUGAGAUUAAUCUGAUCUUUAAAAAUAUAUUGGACCUAAUGAGGGUUAUGCUGGGGGGGUCAACAUAUUGAUGUAUAUCCUAUAGUUUCAGACAACAGUUGCAAAUGCACAUAUAUAAUUAAACCAAUUCCCAUCAUAUCUGUAUGGACUAUAUUUCAUUAGAGAAAUUAUGUAGCUUUUCUUUUUGGACUAUAUUGAACCCUUGAUGACAGAGCACCUUUAUUUGACACUGGAAGCAAUCACGAUCAUUGGAUAGUUGAGUGUUAAACAUUAAAUGCAAUCAAGCAACAUAGUGAACUAUAUGGAAAAGAUCCCUUUCUAAUUAGCCAAAUAGUCUCAUAUGUAGAAGCUUCACUUCAAAUCAUUGUAUUUUUUAUUUGGUUUAUUCAUAGCCAUGGCCCUCAAU